RNAcentral lists this ribosomal RNA (434 nucleotides) under uncultured Clostridium sp. RNAcentral's name for it is "partial 16S ribosomal RNA". It matches the Rfam family "Bacterial small subunit ribosomal RNA", at positions 341 to 792 of the family's 1533-position model. Lineage: Bacteria; Bacillati; Bacillota; Clostridia; Eubacteriales; Clostridiaceae. The record is from RNAcentral.
ACGGAAGGCAGCAGUGGGGAAUAUUGCACAAUGGGGGAAACCCUGAUGCAGCGACGCCGCGUGAGUGAAGAAGUUAUUCGUAACGUAAAGCUCUAUCAGCAGGGAAGAAAAUGACGGUACCUGACUAAGAAGCCCCGGCUAAAUACGUGCCAGCAGCCGCGGUAAUACGUAUGGUGCAAGCGUUAUCCGGAUUUACUGGGUGUAAAGGGAGCGUAGACGGCAUGGCAAGUCUGAAGUGAAAGCCUGGGGCUCAACCCCGGAACUGCUUUGGAAACUGUUAAGCUAGAGUGCAGGAGAGGUAAGUGGAAUUCCUAGUGUAGCGGUGAAAUGCGUAGAUAUUAGGAGGAACACCAGUGGCGAAGGCGGCUUACUGGACUGUAACUGACGUUGAGGCUCGAAAGCGUGGGGAGCAAACAGGAUUAGAUACCCUGGUA